UAUAUUUUAGUGUAUGAAGCACAAAAGUUUUUGAUACUUUUAGAAAUAGUUUAAUUCUAUUGAAUAUAA
This 69-nucleotide transfer RNA is filed under the name Conicera dauci. Its description in RNAcentral is "tRNA-Gln". RNAcentral also lists the same sequence under 1 other name. The record is from RNAcentral. Lineage: Eukaryota; Metazoa; Arthropoda; Insecta; Diptera; Phoridae.